Molecule: ribosomal RNA, 475 nt
Filed under: Streptococcus sp. oral taxon 070
Lineage: Bacteria; Bacillati; Bacillota; Bacilli; Lactobacillales; Streptococcaceae
Description: bacterial SSU rRNA
Rfam family: Bacterial small subunit ribosomal RNA
Source: RNAcentral
GACGAACGCUGGCGGCGUGCCUAAUACAUGCAAGUAGAACGCUGAAGCUUGGUGCUUGCACCGAGCGGAUGAGUUGCGAGCGGGUGAGUAACGCGUAGGUAACCUGCCUGGUAGCGGGGGAUAACUAUUGGAAACGAUAGCUAAUACCGCAUAAAAUGGAUUAUCGCAUGAUAAUCCAUUGAAAGGUGCAAAUGCAUCACUACCAGAUGGACCUGCGUUGUAUUAGCUAGUUGGUGGGGUAACGGCUCACCAAGGCGACGAUACAUAGCCGACCUGAGAGGGUGAUCGGCCACACUGGGACUGAGACACGGCCCAGACUCCUACGGGAGGCAGCAGUAGGGAAUCUUCGGCAAUGGACGGAAGUCUGACCGAGCAACGCCGCGUGAGUGAAGAAGGUUUUCGGAUCGUAAAGCUCUGUUGUAAGAGAAGAACGAGUGUGAGAGUGGAAAGUUCACACUGUGACGGUAUCUUACCA